This 555-nucleotide ribosomal RNA is filed under the name uncultured bacterium. RNAcentral's name for it is "partial 16S ribosomal RNA". It matches the Rfam family "Bacterial small subunit ribosomal RNA", at positions 355 to 932 of the family's 1533-position model. The record is from RNAcentral.
UGGGGAAUAUUGGACAAUGGGCGCAAGCCUGAUCCAGCCAUGCCGCGUGAGUGAUGAAGGCCUUAGGGUUGUAAAGCUCUUUCGCCGACGAAGAUAAUGACGGUAGUCGGAGAAGAAGCCCCGGCUAACUUCGUGCCAGCAGCCGCGGUAAUACGAAGGGGGCUAGCGUUGUUCGGAAUCACUGGGCGUAAAGCGCACGUAGGCGGAUUGUUAAGUCAGGGGUGAAAGCCUGGAGCUCAACUCCAGAACUGCCCUUGAUACUGGCAAUCUCGAGUCCGGAAGAGGUAAGUGGAACUGCGAGUGUAGAGGUGAAAUUCGUAGAUAUUCGCAAGAACACCAGUGGCGAAGGCGGCUUACUGGUCCGGUACUGACGCUGAGGUGCGAAAAGCGUGGGGAGCAAACAGGAUUAGAUACCCUGGUAGUCCACGCCGUAAACGAUGGAGGCUAGCCGUUGGCGAGCAUGCUCGUCAGUGGCGCAGCUAACGCAUUAAGCCUCCCGCCUGGGGAGUACGGUCGCAAGAUUAAAACUCAAAGGAAUUGACGGGGUCAUAGCUG